CUGACCACACUCCACCGGGCCUUGCUCCGAGGUACCUGGGUGUCCUUGGCACACACCAGUCAUCAUGAUGGUUCUUGGUAAGGGGGGCACUGGGCUCCCAGGUUCUCUCCUUUGAGGGGCCAGUUGGCAGCCCUCUUGGUGUUUGCAGUUUGCCAUGAGGGACACUGAGAGUUGAAGAU
Molecule: long non-coding RNA, 179 nt
Filed under: Vulpes vulpes (red fox)
Lineage: Eukaryota; Metazoa; Chordata; Mammalia; Carnivora; Canidae
Description: Pvt1 onco conserved region 4 (ENSVVUG00000016936.1)
Rfam family: Pvt1 oncogene conserved region 4
Source: RNAcentral